CGCUUUCGUCCUCUUACGGUGCGCUCGCGCGAUUGCAUUAAGAGCUUGCUCCUACACCGUCAAGCGCGGGCGCCGCGGUUCCAUCUGGGUAACCUGCAAUAAGACUGUUUCAACUCCGGGAAACCGGGGCUAAUACCGGAUAACAUUUUGAACCGCAUGGUUCGAAAUUGAAAGGCGGCUUCGGCUGUCACUUAUGGAUGGACCCGCCUCGCAUUAGCUAGUUGGUGAGGUAACGGCUCACCAAGGCAACGAUGCGUAGCCGACCUGAGAGGAUGAUGGGCCACACUGGGACUGAAACACGACCCAGACUUCUACGGGAGGCAGCAGUAGGGAAUCUUCCGCAAUGGACGAAAGUCUGACGGAGCAACGCCGCGUGAGUGAUGAAGGCUUUCGGGUCGUAAAACUCUGUUGUUAGGGAAGAACAAGUGCUAGUUGAAUAAGCUGGCACCUUGACGGUACCUAACCAGAAAGCCACGGCUAACUACGUGCCAGCAGCCGCGGUAAUACGUAGGUGGCAAGCGUUAUCCGGAAUUAUUGGGCGUAAAGCGCGCGCAGGUGGUUUCUUAAGUCUGAUGUGAAAGCCCACGGCUCAACCGUGGAGGGUCAUUGGAAACUGGGAGACUUGAGUGCAGAAGAGGAAAGUGGAAUUCCAUGUGUAGCGGUGAAAUGCGUAGAGAUAUGGAGGAACACCAGUGGCGAAGGCGACUUUCUGGUCUGUAACUGACACUGACGCGCGAAAGCGUGGGGAGCAAACAGGAUUAGAUACCCUGGUAGUCCACGCCGUAAACGAUGAGUGCUAAGUGUUAGAGGGUUUCCGCCCUUUAGUGCUGAAGUUAACGCAUUAAGCACUCCGCCUGGGGAGUACGGCCGCAAGGCUGAAACUCAGAGGAAUUGACGGGGGCCCGCACAAGCGGUGGAGCAUGUGGUUUAAUUCCAAGCAUCGCGAAUAACCUUACCAGUCUUGACAUCCUCUGACAACCCUAGAGAUUAGGGCUCCUCC
RNAcentral lists this ribosomal RNA (1000 nucleotides) under Bacillus sp. TRB41. RNAcentral's name for it is "bacterial SSU rRNA". It matches the Rfam family "Bacterial small subunit ribosomal RNA", at positions 66 to 1018 of the family's 1533-position model. The record is from RNAcentral. Lineage: Bacteria; Bacillati; Bacillota; Bacilli; Caryophanales; Bacillaceae.